UGUCACUGAGAGCUGCUUGUGGUGAGCUCGUGCCAGCAACAGGUGUUCAGCCUCAACUGUCAUCACAGAUUUUCAGCCUCCUUUUCGGAUUCUUGCUGAUUCUCCUUAGGCCUUACACCCAGUAAGCCCUAGGGGAAAUGGGCUGAAAACCGUUGGGAGCUCUUACCUGAGUGAGUAUCAGAGUCACCCACAGCUGUGGGGCACAGGCACUUUCUAAGUGUCUCCCCUUCCAGACAUGUGUGGAUCACCUCGGCAGGGCUCAGUGUGCUGGUGAAGGAGCUCCCAAUGGGCUCCAGAUGGAGAAACAGUGCCCUGAGUCUGCCAGCUGAGGUCAAAAUGGAGACAAGGCCGGGCGCAGUGGCUCGUGCCUGGAGUCCCAGUACUUUGGGCAGCCACGGCUGGAGGAUCACUUGUUGCCCAGGAUUACCUGGCAACAUAUCGAGACCCUGUCUCCACGAAAUAAAAACAAAAACCUGAGUGAGACUGGCCUGCGUUGCUGGAGAGGUGAAGAAUGGAGUUGGGAGGGAAAUGAGAGGCUGGACAGCUGGUGCAGCCUGAAAGUCUCUGUGCCUCUUUCAUGGACUCUUUGCUUCCUGUAAACCAAAAAUAAAAUUAUAAGCCCCCCACCCCCAACCAUCCGAAUGCCCUCUUUAGCCAGGGCACUCUAAGAUUUAACCUGAAAGACUGGUUGAGGCUGCGACAGGAAGAGAGGGUUGGAAAUGCCUCAUUAAACCUCUCUAGCAUUAAAGCAGACUUUCGGUCUGGCAAGAAACAUGUACAAUCUGUUCUCUCUGAAGGCUGCUACCUGGAGGCUUCAUCUGCAUGACAAAACUGUGGUCUCUACAACCUCUUAUCAAAACCCAGACAUUCCUUUCUAUUGAUUCCAGCUCUUUAGAUAAACUCUUUCAACUAAUUGCCAAUCAGAGAAAGUUUAAAUCUACCUAUAACCUGGAAGCCCCCGUCCCCACCUUCAAGUUGUCCUACCUUUCUGGACCAAACCAAUGUAAAUCUUAAAUGUAUUUGAUUGAUGUCUCAUGUCUCCCCAAAAUGUAUAAAGCCAAGCUGCACCCCACUCACCUUGGGCACAUGUUCUCAGGAUCUCCUGAUGGCUAUGUCACAGGCCAUGGCCACUUAUAUUUGGCUCAGAAUAAAUCUUUUCGAACAUUUUA
This 1169-nucleotide long non-coding RNA is filed under the name Homo sapiens (human). RNAcentral describes it as "HSALNT0365830". Lineage: Eukaryota; Metazoa; Chordata; Mammalia; Primates; Hominidae. The record is from RNAcentral.